Poecilia reticulata (guppy) is the source of this 1084-nucleotide non-coding RNA. The record is from RefSeq and is a predicted model, not a curated record. NCBI's taxonomy places the organism in Eukaryota, Metazoa, Chordata, Actinopteri, Cyprinodontiformes, Poeciliidae.
AUUAUUAUGUGUUAUUAGAGGAUUAAUUUCUGAACACCAACUAUAAAGUUGUAAAAAAUGUAAACAUUAAAAAUAAUUAAAAGAGCAAUGCUAAGCCUGGUGUAGCUCAAGUAAAGCCUGGCGGGCUGCCAGGCUUAUAAUAGACUGGAGGAAACCUGCAGCAAAACCUCCACAAAUCUCAAAUUAUGUCUUUUUGUUGUUAUUUUUAUUGCAGUGUUGCGUUUAUGGCCGACUGUGUGCGGAUGCCUUAUUUGCAUACUUGCUGUUUAGCGCCACUUACAGGUCUGGAGGAGUAACAGCAGCAGUUUGGUGCCGAUUGAACCGGUUCUGUGUCGAUGGAUGAUGAUCAUAUCUGACCCACACAAAUGGAUCAGACUGAGAUCUGAAUAUUGAAUUAAUAAGUUUAUAGAUGCAGCAUCAGUUUUAUGAAGGUUAACUUUGAAAUCAGUUUUGAUUAUAUGCAUGUUUAGUUUGUAAAAAGCCAAAACAAAAACCCACAUGCAUAAAUAUUGUGGUAGAGAUGAAAAUCCAAACUGUUUGUAUCAUAUUAGAGUUUGUUGAUUUUUAUGCAUAAUGAUGGAGGAAAACACCAGCAGGAGGUUUUUUCAGUCUGGAGGUUCAGCUGGUUUCCUGCUGCAGGUUUUUGUUGGGCGGUUUCUCAUCGUGUUAGCUGGGGUACCACUCUGACUGAACCUGCACACACAGCGCUGCAAAAACCUCCAGGCUCUGCUGACCUGCCUGGAAAACCCUUAAAACCCCCAUGGAGACCCAAACAACCGGAACCAAGCUGCGUUUCAGAUCCUCGUUUACCGCUGCCGGAUUCAUAACGGCUCCGUUUGAGGAGGUGCAGGAUUUUUCUGCUCCUCUGGAAACGAUUUCAGCUCCCAGGUUUUUGUACGAGGCUGUAAUACUGUGAUGCUCUGACGUUCGGGAAGCCGAUCCGACUCACCGUCUCUCCUAAAGAUGACUCCCCCGUCAGUCCGGUCCUCUUCCUCCUGGGUCGCCUGCAGCCUGCCGGUUCUUCCCCGGCCCAGUCGGGUCCAGAUGUGUGUCUGGCUGCAGGUUUCCGUCCCAGUGGACCCGA